Molecule: unclassified non-coding RNA, 391 nt
Filed under: soil metagenome
Description: partial contains 5.8S ribosomal RNA, internal transcribed spacer 2, and large subunit ribosomal RNA
Rfam family: 5.8S ribosomal RNA (bases 1-122)
Source: RNAcentral
GAUGAAGAACGUAGCGAAAUGCGAUACUUGGUGUGAAUUGCAGAAUCCCGUGAACCAUCGAGUCUUUGAACGCAAGUUGCGCCCGAAGCCAUUAGGCCGAGGGCACGCCUGCCUGGGUGUCACACGUCGUUGCCCCCCCAUCUACUCCUUCGGGAUUGCGGGGGGCGGAUGAUGGCCUCCCGUGCGCCUCGUCGCGCGGUUGGCCUAAAUGCCAAGUCCUCGGCGACGCACGCCACGACAAUCGGUGGUUGCGAAACCUCGGUUGCCCGUCGUGUGCGGUCGUCGCGCAUCGANGNCUCGAAAAAAUUGCCGGGCUUCGGCUCGACUUUCAACGCGACCCCAGGUCAGGCGGGGUUACCCGCUGAAUUUAAGCAUAUCAAUAAGCGGAGGA